RNAcentral lists this long non-coding RNA (15764 nucleotides) under Cicer arietinum (chickpea). RNAcentral describes it as "long non-coding RNA (CARI_LNC003598)". The record is from RNAcentral. Lineage: Eukaryota; Viridiplantae; Streptophyta; Magnoliopsida; Fabales; Fabaceae.
UAGUAGAUUUUAGAGGCACAGAUUUUGAAUUGUUACCAUUUGGUGCUGGAAGGAGGGUGUGUCCAGGCAUUAUCUUUGCCAUACCUAACAUUGAGUUACCUCUUGCUCAGUUACUUUACCAUUUUGAUUGGAAGCUUCCCAAUGGAUUGAAGAAUGAAGAACUGAAUAUGACUGAGCAAUUUGGUAUUACUGUAGGAAGAAAACAUGACCUAUGUUUGAUUCCUAUUCCUCGACGUGCUUGAUAUGUAUUGCAUAAACAAACAAGUUCACAAAAUAAUUAAUAAUACUUCACCACUUAGCCAUUGAUGUUCCUAAUAGACAAGUGAGAAAGAUAGCAAAUAAUAUUCAUUUCUCCCAUCAAGGAGAACGUUGUACCUUAUAAAAUUUAUAUCGGCAAUCAUUUAAAAUCAUAAUUUUUAAAUGUUAUUUUUAAUUUGUGUGUAAUAUUUUAACCACAAGCAUUAAAUUAGUGUUAAAAUACAUCUCUAAUUUCUAUCUUCUUAAGUUUGAUAUAGUUGACGUUGAUUUUAUAGAUAGAGUUCUCUUAAUUAUAAUUUUCAUUCGUUUUCACUUACUAUUUGCAUGUUUAGGUGUAUUAAUUGAUUGUUUUUAUUUAGGACAUUUGAAAUUUAUGUCUAAUCUUUUUGGUUUUCUCAAAUUCCUAUAAGUAGCUAUAUUACACACUUCUUGAAUAUAUGGUUAUUCUAUAAACAUACUUCAAUAAAAACUUUUAUAUAGUAGAGGUGACCUUCAAGCAAUAGCCAUCAAGUAAACUUGUAUUUUUGGGAACUAGUUUAGUUGUGGUAACUUCCAUCCUUUUUGUUAGAGGAAAACAUGAAAAUACAAUUAAAUAUUUGGUUCUUAAUAGAUGGUUUCUUGAAGUGUUAAGAAGACUAGAAGGUCUCUAGAGAAACGCUUAGAAAAAUAGAGUAAAUAAUAUUUAAUAACUUGAAGACUUACGGUAUAAAGUCAACUCAAGAGGACAAUGAAGUUAAACGAACUUUUUGAUGAAUCCACAUAUUGUACAAAAAUUGUAGUUGAGAGGAUUUGAAACUUUUUCGUACAAAUAUUGUAUUUUGAGAGGGUUUAUUAUAUAAGUGGAUUUGCAAUUUUAUGCUUGUAAAGUUAUAAAAUACUUUAUUGUUAGAUUGUGGAUUAGAUAUGAGGUGUCAAUUUACAAUAAAUUCAUGAAAUGUCUUUUGAUACUUUUUAUUUAUUGUGUGAAAAUUUAUUUCAUGUUAAAUAAUUCUUGAACCACUUUAUUUUUAUUGUCGUCAUAUUUUAUACCUAUUUGACCCUCUACUAAAAAAAUAAAAUUAACAAGAGAAUUUAAAGAGGGAAAAUAUGAAAUCCCUCUCAAAAUCCCUCGCUAUAUUUUGUGACAAGGGAAUUUGAGUAGGAUUUUUUAUUUGCCAAUAAUUUAAUUAUUUCUAAAAGUAUAGAAGAUUUACAUGCAACUUAAAAGACUAAUUCCUAAAAUAAAAUCGGAUAUGACUACAAUUGAUAAAAAAAGUUAUACCUCAAACAUUUUAAUAUUUUAAAAAAUAUUUAAUUUUCAUAAAAGAGAGACUAAUUUUAUAUAACUAUUCAAGGUGAAUGAACCUAUACGGUAAAUCAACUUAGACCUAUAGCAUUUUGUAAUGUAAACUACAAAAUUAUUUCUAAAGUCAUUGUUUAGAGAGGUAAAAGUAUGAUGCUCCAUGUGGUAUCACAGAAUCAAAAUAGUUUUAUCCCAGGACGAUUUACUUCUGAUAACAUUUUAGUGCUCCAAGAAACUAUGGUACUAAAGGCUUUAUGAUUCUCAAGCUUAAUCUCGAAAAAUCAUAUGAUAAACUUGAAUGACAAUUUAUCAUAGAAUCUCGUGACAUGUUAAGAUUGUCUUUGAUACUUAAGAAUAUUAUACGACAUCUAUUGAUAUGAAUGGUUCUAUAACUAAUCCAUUUGGCACUUCUAGAGGGUUUAGAUAAGGGGAUUUUACCUCCCCUUAUCUUUUUAUGAUAUCUGUAAGACCCAUAAUUUUAAAGUACCAUUUAUGUAUUUUUGGUGUAUUUUGGAUUUUGGCUCGGAGGCUUUUAAGCCAAAGUUAAUAAUAUUUUGGAGUUUUAUAAUCAAAAAGAUAUUUUGAGAUAUUGGUUAAGUUAUAUUUAUUAUCUAUAUAUGUUUGGUUGGAGGGAAAAAGAAAGGACAACUAGAAGGAAGGAAAAUGAAAAGAAAAUAGUAUAAAAGGAAGGAAGGAAAAAGGAAGAAAGGAAAAACAAAGGAAAGAAAAAGAAAGGAAGGAAAAUUGAAAAUUCCAUCGUCUUCUUCCUCUCCCGCGGCCAAUUUCUCUCCUUUCUCCCAUUUUCAUUUUCGUCGCUUUCCUUUCUUCAAAACUAGUAACCCAAGGUUGGGUGAGAGUUAGAUCAAGGUUUUCGCGACUCCACUCUUCCUCUUUGAUUCGAAAACGAAGAAAAACGGUUUUUGAGAUCCAAACACAAACCCCUCCGUUUCUUCUAGAUCCAAACCUCAUUCCUCGAAGAGAUAGAAGGGAAAGUUGCUAACCACCACGCUACGAUGCUAGUGAACUAAUUUGGAAGCGGCGUUGCGAGCGGAGAUUUUACCGGAAUUACUCGCGGUACCAGAAACGCACGUUAAAGCUAACGUUGAGGUAAGGGCUCCUUCCAAACUUCUAGUCGCAUUAGGGACUUAUCUGUGGUUUUGUGGGAAGGAAUUUGUUAGGGUUAAAGAUAUCGAUUUGGGGAAAAACGAAACUAAUACGUUAUGGAUAAAACCUUAGAGUUAGGUUUUGUUUAUAUUGAUGAAUGUUUCGUGGUAAAUGAAUUUGAAGUCAUUGUGUAUGAUUACGAGUAAAUGAAAUUUGAUGUAUCCGGGUGUUAUGUUGCGUUGAUUUGUGUUCGUUGUAUUUGGCGUGUCCAUACUUGAUGUUUGUUAAUUGUUGUGGUUGCUGUGAAUUAUGGUUUGAAUGUGAAAGUAUGUUUGAAUUUAUCUGUGGUUUUGUGGGAAGGAAUUUGUUAGGGUUAAAGAUAUCGAUUUGGGGAAAAACGAAACUAAUACGUUAUGGAUAAAACCUUAGAGUUAGGUUUUGUUUAUAUUGAUGAAUGUUUCGUGGUAAAUGAAUUUGAAGUCUGAUGCAUUUGGGUGUCAUGUUGUGUUGAAUUGUGUUCAUUGUAUUUGGCGUGUUCAUACUUGAGGUUUGUUAAUUGGUGUGUUUGUUGUGAAUUAUGGUUUGGAUGUGAGAGUAUGUUUGAGUUUGUUUCUGUGGAAUUUGAAAACCAUUAGAGUUAAACGAGUAUUAAAAAUGGGGAAUCUUUUAAUACCUCGGUUUACUUAAUGUGCAUUUGAGGAAAAUGUUUAAGUUAACUGGGCGUUGAGAAUGGGGAAUCUCUUAAUGUCUCGGUUACUUAACUAUCGUUUUUGAAAAUCGUUUCGGUAAAUGAGUAUUAAGAAUGGGGAAUCUCUUAAUAUGACUGUUUGCUUAACGUUUUGUUUUGAAAAUCAUUAAGUUAAAUCGGUAUUAAGAACGGGGAAUCUCUUAAUGACUUAUUUAAUUAAUGUUGUUUGAAAGUCGUUUAAGUAAAUGGGUAUUAAAAAUGGGGAAUCUUUUAAUACCUCAGUUUACUUAAUGUGCGUUUGAACCUCGGUAAACGAUACGGGCCCGUGAUAGGCAGUACGUUUAUGGUUUACGCUUUUUAGUAAAUCGUGCAGACCCGUGAUAGGUGGCACCUUGGUAAUUGGUACUUUGGCCUGCGAUAGGCGGUACAAUUAUGAUUUACGGCCCUUCGAGGAGGGUUUUGGUUUGGAAUUCCGAGUCCAUGCAUUUUGGCAUAUACGCAUUGCAUUAGGGUGCUUGGCACGCGAGUCGUGGUUGAUUUGAGUUUUAUGAUUAAGUGAUUUGAAUUUGAGUCGUUGUGGUAAUUGCGUUGAAAAUGCUAAGUGUUAUGUGUUGAUUGUUGUGUGUAAGUAUGAUGGUUAUCGAGAUCUCAAUUGCCGUGGUAAUCGUGUAGGAAUUGCUAAGUGUUAGGUUGUGAACUUGAUUAGGAAUGACUUGAGUUAAUGCAUGAAUUUUUGGAAAAACGAUCAGGGAAAUCGAUUUCCCAAUCGAUUGGAUGGAAGUCAGGGACUUGGCCAAAUGGACAAAAUCGAUUAGCCAAUCGAUUUUGUAAUCAGUUUUCGAAAAUCAUUUACGAAAUCGAUUGCCCAAUCGAUUGGGCCUAAGUCAGGGACUCAUCCAUAUUCGACCAAAUCGAUUUGGAAAUCGAUUGGCUUAAAACCUGGGGGCUCAGUACUCACUCAAUCGAUUGCCAAAUCGAUUGAUUCAACCCAGGAUUCUAUUUUCAUUAAAAGCCUUCACCCCAAUCGAUUUCCCAAUCGAUUGGCUCAGUGAAAAUCCUCAGUAUUGAGUUAGAUGAUUGAUUGUUCAUUAACUUAUCCAUGUCCUGAUUGUUAUGUGUUAAUUAGGAGUUUGAGAACUUCAUUUUACUUUCAUUUUAAAUGGGCAAAGUAUUGUAUGAACUUUUCGCAUAUUGGAAAUCCUGGUAAGGUGCAUGCUUAGUUGAAAAGUUAUUUGAGCAUUUAAAAACUUAAUUGCUAUGUGUUAACUGUUAUUUUCUGGUUGGUGACCCUUUACACUUAUUGUGGAAAUCUGGGCUUUGCCCUCAGAUGAGAGUCAGGACGGUCCUACCGGUUCGUACCCUACGGACGGGAAUGGAGAUGGGAACGCUUGACUGCAGUUACGUUAGGAGGAUCUCACGGGGCGCGUGGAGAUACUCAGGGUGUAUAGCUUUUUGGUAGGAUGAUCAGAUUAGGAUGAUGUAUAGGGACUAGGUGUCCUUCUUUUUGGAUUGGAGUAUUUUUAGUUUGGAAAACUGUAUUUAUACUAAUAUUGUCAGUUCGACUUCUUAUGAGAAUGGGUCCCAUGUACCAUUUAUGGUUGUGUAAAUGUUUUGGAUUUAUAAUUGGAGAAACUUUUCCGCUGCUUGUAAAUUAUAAUGACUCAGUUAUUUAUCCAAAGGCAUUUAUUUAUCUAUUUCUCUGUUUUAAUUUAAUUACUUUUAAAAAAAAAAAAAUAUAUACCCUCGCUUUGAAAAACGGGGUGUUACAAUAUCUCUGGAGAGAUUGAGCCACAUGGAAAGCUCUUCAUUAUGGUAGAGGUGGGGGACCCUAUCUCUCACACAUAUUCAUUAUUAAUAAUAUUGUUUAGGUUGUUGAGGCUAGUAUAGAAUAAAUUUUCAGCUCAUUAAAUCCAUUUUGGCUUAUUUCUGCGUAAUUUUGGCCAAAAGAUAAACACACAUAAAUCCAAGGUCUUUUUCUCAAAAAAUAUGUCAACAACGAAAGUAACUUCUUUAAGUCAAAUUAUGGGGAUUGAUUUAACUACAAACCAUGGAGAAGUCCUUGGUGUUUCUCUGAUCCAUCAACGAGCCUCAAAAUAUUCAUUAUCCUUUAUCAUGGAUAGACUAAGAUCUAAACUCACAAAUUGGAAAUCUAACUUUCAUUCAUUUACAGGUAAAGUCAAUCUUGCUUAAUCAUCUCUAUCUUGCAUUCCUACAUAUGUGAUGUAAACCAUGUCAAUUACUAGUUCUAUUUGUGAUAAAGCUAAGAGACUAUGUUGCAACUUUAUCUAGGGUAGUACACAUGAACAAAGAGCAUACCAUUUGAUCUAUAGGGAAACAAUUUGCAAGCCAAAGCACGAAGGCAGGCUUGGUUUCAAGAAUCUCAAAGUCCUUAAUCAAGCAUAUAUGACCAAACUUGUUUGGCAACAGGUUACAAACAUAGACAUAUUUUAGGUUCCAUUGUCCUGAGGCAAGUAUAAUUUGGUAUUAUGAACAAGCUUCAUAUCCAACAACGCAAUAUUGCUUCAAAUACUUGGAUGAAUAUUUGCAAAGUGUACCCUAAUACUAAAAGUAAUGUGUGGUGAGUUAUUCGUGAUUGUCCUUCUACAAAAUUUUGGAAGGAUCACUAGAUACUAGGUUGUGGAAAGCUUGCUAACUCAAUACCUCAAGACAUUCCACUUAUAAAAACUAACUUUUAUGUAUUGAGCUACACUAAUUAUACAAAUUAGAAUUGAAGUAAACUGCAAAAAAUUAUCCCUAAGUCAAUAUGUGAGAAAAUUAUAUCCUUGAAACCUCUAACUGAUGCUUCUCCAGAUUUCCCCACAUGGCUACCAGCCACUGACGAUCAACUUACUAUUAUGUUAGCCUAUAAUAACCUCGCAAACCAUGAGACCAAUGUUGACUCCAUAAUAUUGUUCAAGGAGGUUUGGAAUUGACAGAGCCCACCAAUUGUUAGGACGACGCUUUGGAAGAUGGCACAUGGGAAACUCCUAACAAAUGUUGAGAGUUGUCAUAGAGGCAUGGCCUAAUACGACCCCUAUCAAUGUUGUCUCUCUACGCCUGAGACCCUUAUGCACGUUGUGAGAUAUUGUGAGGAUGUCCAACUACUUUGGAAUAGAGUUAUUAAGCCUGAAUUUUGGAGUAAAUUCGUUAGCAUGUGUACUUAUGUUUGGCUUGAAUGAAAUCUUACUCACAAUGACAUUCGAAGCAUCCCUUGGACAUGGAAAAUUUUCUUUGAUGUAGCGGUUAAUGAACUCUAGAAAGAUCGAAAAUCUUUGGUUUUCUCCCAAAAUACAAAAACAAUGAGGGAUUUGUCGCAUUGCAUUUAUAACCAAGUUGACUUUUUUCAUUACUCUUUGAUCAAGAGUAAGGUUCUAAAGUAUAACUUGAAUAACUCUAAUAAAAAAACACGAACUUAACCCCCUGUGGGGGUUAUAAAGAUGAACGUUGAUGAUACUUACACCCAUAUUGAUGGCUCAUUGGCUUGUGUGGGAAUCCUUGGCGAGCAAAAUGGUAAGUUCAUAUGUGGUUUCUACUGCAAAGUUACAUCCAAUAGCUCCUUAUUUUCUGUAGAUUUUUUGCAGUGGUGUUUUAUUGGCUCGUGAUAAAGGUAUUCGUAAUGUUAUUUCUGAAACUAACUCAAUGGCCAUCCUCUCCAUGAUCAAAAAAGACUAUACUCAGUUUACUUCCUUGUUAAUCACCCUCAAAGAGAUUAUCUCUAUAUUGCAUUAGAUGCACUUGACCUACUCCUUUAGUUAAUCGCUAAGAGAAGUAAAUAGAUGUGCUCAUUUCUUAGUUCAACUUAGUCACAAUGCUCCUUUUUUUUUAGACUAUUUACCUACCUUUUUCUUUAUUAGAUUCAUUUAUGAUGUAUGGUGCUGAAAGUUUUCAUUAUCAAUUUUGAUUUUAGUUAAUAUAAUUCCUUUCUGAAUGUCUUGACACUAAUAUUGAUGCCCAAAAAGUAUUGACCUUAUAGAAAACGUAAAUAUUUUUCUCUCUUUUAUUACUGUAAUAAAUUUGUAACAAUAACAUAUAUUCUAGAUAAACAUAUUACUUUAACAAUUUUUAUAAAAUAUGUGAUUUUUGUUAAACAUUCAUGUAAUAAGGGACAUGGGGAAUAAUAAGAAGAUAGCAUUUCUAAUUACUUUUUUCUUGCCAUAAAUAUUUAUGACAAAAUAAAUAAAGUGUGUAAUGGACGGAGUUUAUUCGAUUUUUAACAAAAAAUAAUUCGAACUAAUGAAAUGCACACAGGUUGGUUUGAUUCAGUUUUGUUUGUUUUUAUAAUUGAAUUCGAACACAACUAAAUCGAUGAUAUACGGAUUGGUUAAGUUUGGGUGAUUGGAUUUGCAUAAAAAAAAAACUAUAAAAUUCUAAUUUAUUGAUAAUCAGAAAUAUAAUUUGAAAUACCCAAUUAGAAAAUAAAAUAUGCAGUUGCCACUUUGCAUUUAGGGAUGGGAAUAGGCUAGGCCGUCCGACAGGGGCCUAUGGCCUGGCCUACUUAUGGCCUGGCCUGGCCUGGCCUAUUUAAUAAAAAGACCAGGCUCAGGCUAUUUUUAAAGCCUAUUUAUUUAAAUAGGUCAGGCUCAGGCUUAUAAAGAAGCCUAUUAGGCCUGACAGGCCGGCCUAUAUAUACUUAAUUAUUUAUUAAUGUUAUUUUUUAUUAUUAUAUUAAUAAUAUUAUUUCCUAUUUUAAAUUUUAUCAAUUAGACAAUCACUCAGUAGUCAUUCCAUAUUCGAUAGCUAUUCCAUAUUUGGUAGUCGUUCCAUAUUCGGUAGCCAUUCAAUUAGUCAAUAACUCAGUAGUCCUUCCAUAUUUGUUUGAGAGGUAAUAAUUGAUACAUUUGUUUCAAAAAAAAAAUCUAUUCUUUGAAACCAAGAAUUAUGUUUUAGGGUUUAAAGGAUGUUUGUUUCAGAUUUUUUAAAAAUUAUUUUGUUAGAAAAAUUAUUUUUUGUUUAAUAUAUAUAGAUAUGUACAUUGAUAUUGGUAUGUGGAGAGCAUUUAAAUAUUUUAAUAUGAAUAAGGCUUUUAAAUAGACUUCCAGGCUAGGCCAGGCUUUUAAAAAGGCCAGGCCAGGCCGAAAAAAAAGCCUAUGAUAGGCCGUAGGCCAGGCUUAUGCCUAAAAAAUUAAUCGUAGGCCAGGCUCAGGCCUUGCAAAGCCUGGCCUGGCCUGGCCUAUUCCCACCCCUAUUUGCAUUGUUCCUCGAACACGAAUAUCAUGCGUAACUACCCACGAAAAUGUUAUGAGCAACAUUAUCUACGGAAAUAUCAUAGACAAACGUUAUUCACAGCAUUUAUGUCGAUAAUAUUUUGCCUACGAGUCAAUUAUAUGGACCCGUGUCCGUGAGUAGUCCACAGGUUAUUUUUUAUUACCAAUGAAAUUUUUGUGGGUAAAGUCUACUCACAUGUUAUUUUUUAUUACCAAAGAAAUUUUUGUAGGUAAAGUCAAAAUUUACCGUAAGUAAUGACAUAUUUUUUGUAGUGUUGGAAUAAGUUAUAUCUACAAACCCAUAAUUUUUUUCUUAAAAAUAAAUAUACAGUACUAACAUAAUUUGGUUCUCAAAAAUAGAAUUUUGGAGUAACAUAAUGCAUAACAACCCCAAAUUAAACUAAAAAAUAGACAGUAAUAAUAUCAAAUUAAAACAAAAUUUAGAUAAUGAAAAUCUAAAUGAGAAUUUUAAAUACAAUGCAAAAUAAGAUCCGAUCCACAUACCCCUUAGAAAUAAAUGUAUAAAUUAUAUAUUAGAAAAAUCAAAAACGAAAAAGAAUUAUAUAGAGUGCAUAUUUUGUUUACUGGUUUUGUGUUUGAGCAAUAAGAAAGAACAAAAAUAAGAAUACAAAUAAAGUAAAUAAAUAUAUAAAGUGUAAAUAAAAUACUUAUGGACUUCUAUGUGAAAUAGCUAGCAAUUGACAAUACGCAUUGUCAAACGUACCAAAAUAAAGAGUAACAACAUCAUUUAAAAAUAUAAAUAUAGUUUUUUAUAACUAAAAUAUAUAUUAACAAUCCUUCAUUAGCAUAAAAGUGCUAUAGAAGGAGCAAGCAUUAACAAUAUACAACAUUCUCUCUAACAAUAAAUAGAACUAUCAAAUUAAAUAAUUGAAUGGUUAUAAACACCAUUGGUUAAAGUCAUAGCUAAAGCAUUUCAAAUUAUACUUAAACUAAAAUCAAACUAAAACUUUCUUACUUUCAACAAUUGAAAGAAUAUUUGCCUCAUAUUGAAACAUUCUAUUAUUUCUAUUUUACAAAUAGACUAAAUUACUGUUAGAUAAUAUUAUUAUAUAUUAGUAGUAAGGGUAUUUUAAACAAUUCUAUUCUUUUAUAUAUAUAUUCAUUGUAACCCUAUUAACUUUAGUUUGGUUCAUUCUAUGUUAUGAAACCUUAGAGUGAUUGUUUUUCUUCUUCCUCUUUUCAUUGUUAACAUGGUAUCAAAGAGCUUUGGUUGAUUUUGUGAUCUAUUAUAAAGAAGAGAGAGAUUAUUUUGAUAGAAAAAACAACCACCAAAAGAGAAAAGAGAAGAGUAACCAUAUUCCCGAUUUUGUUAAAUCAGACUCACAAAAACAUCGAUUGUGCAUUCGUUAACCGUUGGAUCGGGCUGAUGUUUGGACAGCAGGUUCGCAAUAUUCAGGUCUUUAUCUUCAACGGUCGAAUCGGCGAAACGACGUCUGUAGGGGGGAUAAAUAGGGCUCUCACAGCACCAGAUUAUCCAUAAUUUAUUUUGUCUCAGUGAUUGUAUUUGUCGUAUUUUCCUGUCAUUAUUUGUUAUGGCUGAUGUUAAGGAUGACUCUCUUCAAGCACAUUGUCCGAAAUUGGGGAGAACACAUAAGAAGAAUUUUAGGGGGUCAUCGUCCAAUGUUGUUGCUCUGCUCCUUCUAUCAUUGGCUCUAGUUCUGGUUCUGUAUACUCAUCUGAGAUUGCUUCCCAAAUAUUUGAUAUUGCAGAACAACUUCAAAAAAAACUUCUUGCCACUCAAUCACAUGACAUGUAUGCCACCUCUUCUAAAGGUUUGAACUCCUCUGGUAUGUCAGAUAUAUCUCCUUCCAUAUGGAUUCUUGAUUCGGGAGCAUUUCAUCAUAUGACAUACGAUGAUAAAUCUUUUGUGUCUGUGAAACUUGUCUCAUCUGUGUCGGUUAUGACUGCUGAUGGCACUCAUAUGCCACUAGCAGGCGUUGGUUCUGUCUCCACACCUAACAUGUCUCUUUCUGAUGUUUAUUAUGAUGGCACCCUCCACCAAACAUCUUGUACUGAUACUCCUCAAUAAAAUGGAGUUGCUGAAAGGAAACACCGCUAUAUUAUAGAGACUGCUCGUUCCCUUUUGUUGUCCGCUUCAGUUCCUAGUGAGUUUUGGGGAGAAGCAGUUCUUACCGAUGUUCAUGCUAUUAAUAGAAUUCCAUCCUCUACCAUAUCAGGUUUGUCUUCCUUUGAAAAAUUGUAUGCUUCCACCCUUGAUUAUCAUUCUUUGAAAGUUUUUGGUUCUACUUGUUUUGUUCUUCACCCUCAAGUAGAGCGCAGUAAGUUGUCUUCUCGUUCAGCGUUGUAUGUUUUUCUUGGUUAUGGGGAUGGUCAAAAAGGUUAUCGUUGUUAUGAUCCUCAUGUAGGAAAACUUUAUGUAUCUCGUAAUGUUGUUUUUCUUGAGCACAUCCUUUUUAUUCUUGAUCCUCUUUGGCAGCAUGCUAUGGCAAAAGAACUUUCUGCAUUGCACAAAACCAAUACUUGGGAAUCAGUACCUCUUCCUCCUGGAAAACGUGUUAUUGGGUCUCGUUGGGUAUACAAGAUCAAAACUAAGUCUGAUGGGUCAGUUGAGCGCUACAAAGCACGUCUUGUUGCUAAGGGUUUCUCUCAACAAUAUGGUAUGGAUUAUGAAGAAACUUUUGCUCCUGUAGCCAAGAUGACCACUAUUCGUACUCUUAUUGCAGUUGCAUCUAUUCGUCAAUGGCAUAUUUCCCAAAUGGAUGUCAAAAAUGCCUUUUUAAAUGGUGAGCUUCGUCUGAUGGGUCAGUUGAGCGCUACAAAGCACAUCUUGUUGCUAAGGGUUUCUCUCAACAAUAUGGUAUGGAUUAUGAAGAAACUUUUGCUCCUAUAGCCAAGAUGACUACUAUUUGUACUCUUAUUGCAGUUGCAUCUAUUCGUCAAUGACAUAUUUCUCAAAUGGAUGUCAAAAAUGCUUUUUUAAAUGGUGAGCUUCAUGAAGAAGUCUAUAUGGUCCCUCCGCAAGGAGUUUCUCAUAAUCAAGGGGAAGUAUGUAAGUUAAAGAAAGGCUCUACAUGGUCUUAAACGGGCUCAUCGAGCUUGGUUUGAGAAAUUCUCUACUUUGAUCACUUCUCUUGGUUUUCACUCUAGUGAACAUGAUUCUGCAUUGUUUAUAAGGUCCACCACUUAUGGUCGCAUUAUACUUUCUCUAUAUGUUGAUGAUAUGAUUAUUACAGGUGAUGAUGUUAGUGGAAUCAAUGAGUUGAAAUUGCAGUUAGCCAAACAGUUUGAGAUUAAGGAAUUGGGAACUCUUCGCUAUUUCUUGGAGAUUGAAGUUGCCUACUCUCCUAGAGGCUACCUUCUUUCUCAAUCCAAGUACAUCGCCAACAUUCUUGGUCAGGCUUGUCUUUCUGAUACUAGAGCAGCAGAUACUCCUCUUGAGUUAAAUGUGAAAUAUGCUCCCUCGGAUGGUGUUCCUUUACCAGAUUCCACUUUGUAUCGUACUUUGGUUGGCAGUUUAGUGUAUCUUACGAUUACCAGACCUGACAUUGCUUAUGUUGUUCAUGUUGUUAGUCAAUUUGUUGUCUCUCCCACUACAGUACAUUGGGCAGCAGGUAUUCAGAUUCAUCGUUGUCUUCAAGGAACUCAAUUUCAAAGUCUUCUCUUUCCAUCGUCAUCCUCAUUAGAGUUACGAGCUUAUUCUGAUGCUGAUUGGGCUGGUGACACCACAGAUCGUAAAUCCACCACAGGGUUCUGUAUCUUUCUUGGAGACUUUCUUAUUUCUUGGAAGAGUAAGAAACAAGACAUUGUCUCUCGCUCCUCUACAGAAGCUGAGUAUCGUGCUAUGGCAUCCACUACCGCUGAAAUAAUUUGGUUGUGUUGGCUUUUGUCUGAUAUGGGUAUCUCUCUUUCUGAGCCAACUCCGAUGCAUUGCGAUAACAAGAGUGCUAUUCAAAUUGCUCACAACUCGGUCUUUCAUGAACGCACUAAACACAUUGAGAUUGAUUGUCAUUUUACUCGUCAUCAUCUUCAGCAUGGAACUAUUACUCUACCGUUUGUUUCGUCUUCUUUACAGAUUGCUGAUUUGUUUACAAAGAUGCAUUCCAUUAAACGUUUCCGUUUUUUAGUUGACAAACUCUCGAUGCUCCAUGUUAAUGCAUCGUGAGUUUGAGGGGAGAUGUUAGAUAAUAUUAUUAUAUAUUAGUAGUAAAGGUAUUUUAGACAAUUCUAUUCUUUUAUAUAUAUACUCAUUGUAACCCUAUUAACUUCAGUUUGGUUCAUUCUAUGUUAUGAAACCCUAGAGUAGUUGUUUCUCUUCUUCCUCUUUUCAUUGUUAACAAUUGCAACUAAUCAAACACAAAAAAUCAUCUUUCUUUUAAUCCUACCACAACGAACCACGCUAGCAAAUUGAGUAGUAUGGUUAAGAGGCGUAUUUGGUUAGGCACUACAAAAAUCAAGCCAAUUAAUAAUUUUUUUACCACACUUGACUAAAAAUCAAUGAACAUUCAAAAAAAAUAAAUAAGUGAUUAAUAUUUUCCUCAAAGUUGCAUCCACCCAAACAUGUUAAAUCAUCAUAUGCAAUAACAUUGCUAAAAGCCAUAUUGUCUUGUGACGGGAUUCAAUUAUUGAACAACCCAAAAAACUAAGAAGAAUUUGCCUAACUUUUAUUAUGAUGUUAUUUAUAUAUUUAAAUUGAUAGACUAAAUAUUAUUAUUCAUGAUAAAAUUUAUAUCUUUGUUAAUAUUUGUGUGUGUGUAUAUAUAUAUAUAAAUAUUUUUAUAUAAUAAUAAUAAUAAUAUAAAUAAAAAUAAUAUGUAUAUUAUAGAGAUGUAGAAUGGAAUCAGUACUAAACUAUCUUUAUCUACACUCAUACCUACUUUUUUUUAAAAUAAUUAUCCGAGUUGAAACAUGUACUAAUAAUAUGGGUCAAAUUUCUAUCCCUAACUCUUAUGUAAUGGUACAAAAUAUAUUACGAAUAGAAUAUAGCUACAUCCUUAAUGAUAAGGUCAAAUAAAAUAAGCUCUUGAAGUCAAAAAUAAUGGACUUAACUACAAUAAGCGCAUGAGAAUUUAAACGUGGAUGCUGAACGGUGUGCUAUAAAAAAAAAAAAUAUUUUGGGUUGGGUUUGGGGCAGCGCAAAUAUAACCUCAAUAUUUUUUUAUUAUAUCUUAUUAAUCACAUAGAAUAAUAAUAUUAGUCUUAUAUAAAUUAACCUGUCUUCAAACAGCAUAUCAUCAUUCGAAGCUUUUGCAUAGAAUUAGAAACCUUCAUCUAAACAUUCUUCUUUUGUUCCUCCUAAAUCAUCAUGGAGUUUCACAACCCUUUCACUAAUAUUACCUUUAUUGCUUCUUUUGUCUUCCUUUUGAUGAUAUUCAAAAUAUUUAAAAGAUGGAGUUCUAAAAAUUCCACUACCAAUUUACCACCAGGACCAUGGACCCUACCCCUUAUAGGAAACAUACAUCAAAUUAUCAGCAACUCACUUCCCCAUCAUUGCUUCAAAAAUUUGGCAGAGAAAUAUGGUCCUUUAAUGCACCUUAAACUAGGAGAGAUAUCACAUGUAAUAGUUAGUUCACCUGAAAUGGCCAAAGAGGUUAUGAAAACACAUGACUUCACCUUUUGUGAUAGACCAUCAUUGCUUUUGCUUUCGAUACUUACUUACAAUGGUUCAGACAUUGCCUUCUCUAAAUAUGGAGAAAAGUGGAGGCAACUUCGAAAGAUGAUUGUUGUUGAGCUAUUAAAUGCAAAGCGUGUUCAAUCAUUUAGGCCCAUAAGAGAAGAAGAGGUGUCAGAUCUUGUUAAAUCAAUAUAUGAAUCUGAAGGCUCAGUUGUUAAUCUCACUAAAAUGAUUUACUCAAUGACAUAUGGAAUAACAGGGCGAGCAGCUUUUGGAAAAAAGAACCAACAACAACAAGUUUUCAUAUCAGCUUUUGAGAAAAUAUUGAUCAUAUUGGGAGGAUUUUGUAUUGCUGAUCUUUUUCCUUCUAUAAAAAUAUUGCUUGAAAGGGUGAGUAGUACAAAGACUAAAUUUGAAAAACUUUGUAGAGAGACUGAUGGAAUAUUGCAAGACAUCAUCAAUGAUCACAAAAACAGUGACAAAGAAGCAAGGGAUGAAGAUCUAGUAGAUGUUCUUCUCAAGCUUCAACAAGAAAAUAAACACUCGGAAAAUCCAUUGACUGAUGACAAUAUUAAAUCAGUCAUUCAGGUUAGUAUACAAUUAAACACAUUUAUUUUCAUAACUUAAAGAUUAAAGGCUUAAUUGCAGUUUUAGUCCUCUUAGUUUUACUGAUUCACAAAAUUGGUCUUCUAAUUUUAAAAGUUGACAUUUUUGGUUGCUCACUCAUAUUUUUGAACUAAAAAAUGACAAAUUGACAUAUUUUUAGACGUGACAUACAAUUAUAUGAUAUAGAAUCAUCUAUAUGAAUUAAUUAUUCAUUUGUUAUUAAUUAAGUUAAAAAUAUGAAGAAAAAAAUUCAAAGUUAAAAUCAAAGUUUUUACGACAUUUUAUUUCAAUUUCAUCGGUGUUAAUCAUUCUACAUUGUCGUAUCAUAUGUCACAUUAUUUAAACCAUAUCACGUUAUUAUUUUUUAGUAAAAAAACUAGAGGGAGGGACCAAAAUUGUCACUUUUAAAAUAGGAGGACCAAUUUCGUGAAUUAGUAAAAAUAGAAGGAUUAAAACUGCAAUGUAUCGAAGAAAAUGAUUGUUGGUCUAGAUAAUAAAUAGUGUCACUAUUAAUCCAUUUCAGGAUUUGUUCGCUGCUGGUAGCGAAACAUCAUCAAGUACUGUGUUAUGGGGGAUGUCUGAGAUGGUAAAGAAUCCAAAGGUGAUGGAAGAAGCACAAGCUGAGGUAAGAAGAGUGUAUGGUAGCAAGGGGUAUGUGGAUGAGACAGAGUUGAACCAAUUGAUAUACUUAAAGUCAGUCAUCAAAGAAACGUUGAGGUUGCAUCCACCUAUACCAUUGUUAGUUCCAAGAGAAAGUAGAGAGAAAUGUCAAAUAAAUGGAUAUGAUAUCCCAGCCAAAACAAUAGUUGCUGUUAAUGUUUGGGCAAUUGGAAGAGAUCCAAGGUAUUGGGUUGAAGCUGAGAGUUUUAAACCUGAAAGGUUUGAGAAUAGUCUAGUAGAUUUUAGAGGCACAGAUUUUGAAUUGUUACCAUUUGGUGCUGGAAGGAGGGUGUGUCCAGGCAUUAUCUUUGCCAUACCUAACAUUGAGUUACCUCUUGCUCAGUUACUUUACCAUUUUGAUUGGAAGCU